CACGUUACAUGUUUUAUAAUUUAUUAUAAAUUACUUAUGAAAACAAACUGUCUUCAUGUACAUUGUAUGUGUACUACAUAUAACCUGUAUAUAUAUAAGUAUACUUAGUGCCUAUAAAAACACAACUCAUCAUUUUCAAGCCCCCUUCUUACAUGUCUUAGCCCCUUACAAUCAUAGCUUACACCAAAAACAGCUGAUUUCUUAAUUGAUUAUAGCUUGCUUGUGUAGUAUACAAUAAACAGACCAAAAUAUGACACUUUAUAUAGACCAAUGAACCCUGCCCAGACAGUAUUGUACACCAUACAAUCAGUUUCAGACAAGGCAAAAAUUACCUAGUUCAUGAUAUCAGUAAUUGUUUGAUUUUAGUCGAGCUAUUUUGAUAAUUUUCCUCAAACUACAAGCAUAA
Molecule: long non-coding RNA, 406 nt
Filed under: Mytilus galloprovincialis (Mediterranean mussel)
Lineage: Eukaryota; Metazoa; Mollusca; Bivalvia; Mytilida; Mytilidae
Source: RNAcentral